RNAcentral lists this ribosomal RNA (372 nucleotides) under uncultured organism. Its description in RNAcentral is "bacterial SSU rRNA". It matches the Rfam family "Bacterial small subunit ribosomal RNA", at positions 526 to 896 of the family's 1533-position model. The record is from RNAcentral.
CGGGGGGGGCAAGCGUUGUUCGGAAUUACUGGGCGUAAAGGGCGCGUAGGCGGCUCGCUAAGUCGGGUGUGAAAACUCUGGGCUCAACCCAGAGCCUGCAUUCGAAACUGACGGGCUAGAGUUCUGGAGGGGAAAGCGGAAUUCCUGGUGUAGCAGUGAAAUGCGUAGAUAUCAGGAGGAACACCGGUGGCGAAGGCGGCUUUCUGGACAGAAACUGACGCUGAUGCGCGAAAGCUAGGGGAGCAAACAGGAUUAGAUACCCUGGUAGUCCUAGCCCUAAACGAUGGAUACUUGCUGUGAGGGGGAUUGAAUCCCUUCGUGGCGAAGCUAACGCAUUAAGUAUCCCGCCUGGGGAGUACGGUCGCAAGGCUG